This 465-nucleotide ribosomal RNA is filed under the name uncultured Klebsiella sp. Its description in RNAcentral is "bacterial SSU rRNA". It matches the Rfam family "Bacterial small subunit ribosomal RNA", at positions 338 to 795 of the family's 1533-position model. The record is from RNAcentral. Lineage: Bacteria; Pseudomonadati; Pseudomonadota; Gammaproteobacteria; Enterobacterales; Enterobacteriaceae.
CCUACGGGAGGCAGCAGUGGGGAAUAUUGCACAAUGGGCGCAAGCCUGAUGCAGCCAUGCCGCGUGUGUGAAGAAGGCCUUCGGGUUGUAAAGCACUUUCAGCGGGGAGGAAGGCGGUGAGGUUAAUAACCUCAUCGAUUGACGUUACCCGCAGAAGAAGCACCGGCUAACUCCGUGCCAGCAGCCGCGGUAAUACGGAGGGUGCAAGCGUUAAUCGGAAUUACUGGGCGUAAAGCGCACGCAGGCGGUCUGUCAAGUCGGAUGUGAAAUCCCCUGGCUCAACCUGGGAACUGCAUUCGAAACUGGCAGGCUAGAGUCUUGUAGAGGGGGGUAGAAUUCCAGGUGUAGCGGUGAAAUGCGUAGAGAUCUGGAGGAAUACCGGUGGCGAAGGCGGCCCCCUGGACAAAGACUGACGCUCAGGUGCGAAAGCGUGGGGAGCAAACAGGAUUAGAUACCCUAGUAGUC